Molecule: ribosomal RNA, 484 nt
Filed under: uncultured bacterium
Lineage: Bacteria
Description: partial 16S ribosomal RNA
Rfam family: Bacterial small subunit ribosomal RNA
Source: RNAcentral
AUUGAACGCUGGCGGCAUGCUUUACACAUGCAAGUCGAACGGCAGCGCGGGCUUCGGCCUGGCGGCGAGUGGCGAACGGGUGAGUAAUACAUCGGAACGUGCCCAGUAGUGGGGGAUAGCUCGGCGAAAGCCGGAUUAAUACCGCAUACGACCUGAGGGUGAAAGCGGGGGAUCUUCGGACCUCGCGCUAUUGGAGCAGCCGAUGUCGGAUUAGCUAGUUGGUGGGGUAAAGGCCUACCAAGGCGACGAUCUGUAGCUGGUCUGAGAGGAUGACCAGCCACACUGGGACUGAGACACGGCCCAGACUCCUACGGGAGGCAGCAGUGGGGAAUUUUGGACAAUGGGCGAAAGCCUGAUCCAGCAAUGCCGCGUGUGUGAUGAAGGCCUUCGGGUUGUAAAGCACUUUUGGCGGGAACGAAAAGGACUGUGCCAAUACCACGGUUCGAUGACGGUACCCGCAGAAUAAGCACCGGCUAACUACGUG